RNAcentral lists this ribosomal RNA (468 nucleotides) under uncultured bacterium. RNAcentral's name for it is "partial 16S ribosomal RNA". It matches the Rfam family "Bacterial small subunit ribosomal RNA", at positions 29 to 507 of the family's 1533-position model. The record is from RNAcentral.
UACGAACGCUGGCGGCGUGCUUAACACAUGCAAGUCGAACGGAAAGGCCCUGCUUUUGUGGGGUGCUCGAGUGGCGAACGGGUGAGUAACACGUGAGUAACCUGCCCUUGACUUUGGGAUAACUUCAGGAAACUGGGGCUAAUACCGGAUAGGAGCUCCUGCUGCAUGGUGGGGGUUGGAAAGUUUCGGCGGUUGGGGAUGGACUCGCGGCUUAUCAGCUUGUUGGUGGGGUAGUGGCUUACCAAGGCUUUGACGGGUAGCCGGCCUGAGAGGGUGACCGGCCACAUUGGGACCGAGAUACGGCCCAGACUCCUACGGGAGGCAGCAGUGGGGAAUAUUGCACAAUGGGCGGAAGCCUGAUGCAGCAACGCCGCGUGCGGGAUGACGGCCUUCGGGUUGUAAACCGCUUUCGCCUGUGACGAAGCGUGAGUGACGGUAAUGGGUAAAGAAGCACCGGCUAACUACGUG